AGAACUCUGAGGAAUAGCAACAUGGUUAAAAUAAGAGAGCCUAUGAAUAAGAAGGAAGCAGCUGUCAGGGACGUAGAAGCAGAACCAAGAGAAUAUAGUGGGAAAGAUCAUUAAAGAGGUUGGGGGCCCAUGCUGCUGGAGGCUUUAGUAAUAUAGACAUGGAAAAACUUCCAUUCACUUCUCAAUUCACUUCUUCUUCCAUUCACUCUCAAAGUCAUUGGUAGGCCCAUCAAAAAUAACUCCCCAAAACAUGGACCAGUAGAAAGGGGCAGAAGCCACGGGGCAUUAGUCUUAGGAACAAACGGGAGAUGGCCAAGUGGGGGAGAGAGUGAAGACAGUCUAGAAGGGGUUAUGGAAGAACACCACCCCACCCCCAAGGAGAGCAGCAGAGGAUCAGGAACCCAUGCGAGAAGACAUUUGUUAAGAAAUCAAAUCCAGAGGCAUGACUUGUAGUUCCAGAUGUCCCAGAAGACAGAAACUUGUGGAUUCCUUGAUCAUGACAGCAUUGAAAUUCUGAGGCACAUCUUUCUUCAUCAUGAGAGAUAGGAAUGGUUCCUAAAAGUGUCUCCGAAAUUUAAGUAAAAAGGAGGUCAUGACAUCAUUAAGAGUGCCUGUGCAUAGGUCCUAUGCUGACUGCUCCUGUGUUAUGGAGAGGGGAAUGAAACUGGAAGAAUCUGCAGCUCUUCCUGGACUUGGUUGUUCCAAACUUCUCAUCAAAUUAGACACUCUCCCCGCUAUUACACUCCCGACCCAAAUAACCAAGAUGCCAACAAGCAAAUACGAGUCUCGGAAAAUCUUCCAUCACAGAAACAAUUCAAUCAAGAGAGCUUUCCAGUAAUUUACUAUGACUACGUCUAUGAGCACUCACCAGCAGUCUAUCAUCCUAUUCCUCCACUUGGCUACUUCCUAGACUCAUCAACCAGUGAAGGAGAAAUGUAACCUUGAUCCCCAGUGUGAGCCCAGGGAGCCCCAUGGCUCCCUAUAAGCUUUGGGACUAUUCUGACCAGGGACAUGGGAACAGAUGUAUGUCAACACUGCUGGCUCUGGCCUCCUGCAGUACAGUAUGUUACAAAAAGAAAAACAGUGUGGCAAUGCUGAUCAAGUUGCCAGUAAACACUACUUGGAACCCUCAGGAUGAGGGUUCAUUCGUUUCCUAUUACUUCAAGUUAAGAUGGAAACGCAGUCUGGUGUCCUCCACAGCCGUGGUUCAUGGACGGUUAGUGUCAACAUCGCUGAGGAACAUGUUGGAAAAUCACAGUCUCAGGCCCGACUUCCAUCCUACUAAAGCAGAAUCUCUGAGGAUAAGACCCAGGAAACAAGCUGUCCAGAAGAUACGGACCAAAAUUUUGGAAGCAAAGAGGACUUGGAGGUGCAAAGCUAGUGUGUUGUUCUGCUGAGACUCCUCCAUCGUCCGAAUUAUAGGAAGCUGUCAGGAAAACAUGCAGUCUCCAAGGGAAUAACAGGAUGGGGAGCUGAUUUACCUUGGUUCUGGGAAUUUGGGAAUUAAGAAAUAUGUGUAGCUGAGGAAGAGGAAUGCUUUGCUUAAGCAAAUACAGUGUUAAGAUUCAGUAAUUACCAGUACAUCUCGG
RNAcentral lists this long non-coding RNA (1589 nucleotides) under Equus caballus (horse). RNAcentral's name for it is "lncRNA (ENSECAG00000043452.2)". The record is from RNAcentral. Lineage: Eukaryota; Metazoa; Chordata; Mammalia; Perissodactyla; Equidae.